Molecule: ribosomal RNA, 207 nt
Filed under: uncultured bacterium
Lineage: Bacteria
Description: partial 16S ribosomal RNA
Rfam family: Bacterial small subunit ribosomal RNA
Source: RNAcentral
UGUGUAGGCGGGCAAUUAAGUCAGUGGUGAAAUCUCCGGGCUCAACCCGGAAACUGCCAUUGAUACUAUUUGUCUUGAAUAUCGAUGAGGUGGGCAGAAUAUGUCAUGUAGCGGUGAAAUGCAUAGAUAUGACAUAGAAUACCGAUUGCGAAGGCAGCUCACUAACCGAUCAUUGACGCUGAGGCACGAAAGCGUGGGGAUCAAACA